UACCAAAUCCAGUUCUUGAGGAUGCUGUAAAUCCUAGUGCUGCCAGAAUUUUUGCUUCCUCACCCAGUGGUUUCAGACAGACUGUGCUGGACUGUGUUCUUGCCAGUAAGAGAAUUGAAGCCGCAGGGUUCAAUUCAGCGGAGAACUAAUACCAUAACACGCCCCGAGGAUGUUGCAUUUCUAGAAAGAUUUGUUUAUAAACCACCAGCAGAAGUGACCAAUAUAUAUGGAACAGUUGAAGAUGAAAAUCUACAGAAAAACGUUGAACAGACAGAAAUUCAGCUAUUUGAGGAACAAGAUGAGAAUCAAACUGAUGGUCAAAAUGAGUUGGGAAGUUGUACACCAACACUACAUCAGGAUCCAGAGCAAAGCAGAACAGAACACGUUUCGCUUGAAACCGGUUUGACUUGUUCCUGUAAUAGUGCGUCAUUAUCGAAUCUCCCGGAUGUGAUACAGACUGACUACAAAGAGAACUAUAAAGCGAAAAAUGACAGUACGGUGUGAAAAGUGAGAGGAAGCGUGCGCACCUGCUUGUUUGAGAUUAAUUUUCUUACAUGAGAAUCUCGCUAAAUGCGUGUUUGGUGAGCGAAAUGGGGAAUUUUUGCACACGAGGAUUUAAUGCCUAGCAGGGAAAUGUGCUUUCUUGGAUGGCAUAAGUGGCCCCCUUUAGAAGAGUAGAGGAGAUAAGCUGGGAAACCCAGAAAGAAGUCCUAAAACCUUGAUGAAAUGUCCACUGCUGAAAUAUCAGGAAAAUAUUUGUGGUCCAGGAGCACUACUCAGAAGGCUCGAGGUUUUCGCUGUAGAGCGGAAAUAAAAAGAUUGGAUCAAUGUCAGUAUCUGAGCAACUGUACACCCAUCUCUCCCCUGAUAACAAGUUAAGGUUAUUGUUGGAUUAGGGGAGGAGUAGGGGCGAAGUUGCUCAGGUACUGAAACUGAUCCUAUGGAUUCGUCUUUCCAUUUGUCUUUUAAUAAAAAGACUACCUUGCUAAGUUAAUGGAUAAUCGCGUAGGUCAUAAAGAAACUGCAAUGUUUGAAUAUUUA
Molecule: non-coding RNA, 1041 nt
Organism: Pocillopora verrucosa
Lineage: Eukaryota; Metazoa; Cnidaria; Anthozoa; Scleractinia; Pocilloporidae
Source: RefSeq, a predicted model, not a curated record